RNAcentral lists this ribosomal RNA (382 nucleotides) under uncultured bacterium. Its description in RNAcentral is "bacterial SSU rRNA". It matches the Rfam family "Bacterial small subunit ribosomal RNA", at positions 30 to 410 of the family's 1533-position model. The record is from RNAcentral.
UGAACGCUGGCGGUAGGCCUAACACAUGCAAGUCGAACGGCAGCACAGUAAGAGCUUGCUCUUAUGGGUGGCGAGUGGCGGACGGGUGAGGGAUACAUCGGAAUCUACCUUUUCGUGGGGGAUAACGUAGGGAAACUUACGCUAAUACCGCAUACGACCUCGGUGAAGCAGGGACCUUCGGGCCUUGCGCGGAUAGAUGAGCCGAUGUCGGAUUAGCUAGUUGGCGGGUAAAGGCCCGACCAAGGCGACGAUCCGUAGCUGGUCUGAGAGGAUGAUCAGCCACACUGGAACUGAGACACGGUCCAGACUCCUACGGGAGGCAGCAGUGGGGAAUAUUGGACAAUGGGCGCAAGCCUGAUCCAGCCAUACCGCGUGGGUGAAG